Small nucleolar RNA from Bombina bombina (fire-bellied toad), 66 nucleotides. RefSeq annotates it as small nucleolar RNA SNORD58. The transcript has a single exon. The record is from RefSeq and is a predicted model, not a curated record. Lineage: Eukaryota; Metazoa; Chordata; Amphibia; Anura; Bombinatoridae.
CUGCUAUGAUGUUUUCUUAGGACACCUUUGGAUUAUCUAUGAAAAUAACACCCAAAUCUGAGCAGC